AUUGAACGCUGGCGGCAGGCCUAACACAUGCAAGUCGAACGGUAACAGGAAGCAGCUUGCUGCUUUGCUGACGAGUGGCGGACGGGUGAGUAAUGUCUGGGAAACUGCCUGAUGGGGGGGGAUAACUACUGGAAACGGUAGCUAAUACCGCAUAACGUCGCAAGACCAAAGAGGGGGACCUUCGGGCCUCUUGCCAUCGGAUGUGCCCAGAUGGGAUUAGCUUGUUGGUGGGGUAACGGCUCACCAAGGCGACGAUCCCUAGCUGGUCUGAGAGGAUGACCAGCCACACUGGAACUGAGACACGGUCCAGACUCCUACGGGAGGCAGCAGUGGGGAAUAUUGCACAAUGGGCGCAAGCCUGAUGCAGCCAUGCCGCGUGUAUGAAGAAGGCCUUCGGGUUGUAAAGUACUUUCAGCGGGGAGGAAGGGAGUAAAGUUAAUACCUUUACUCAUUGACGUUACCCGCAGAAGAAGCACCGGCUAACUCCGUG
RNAcentral lists this ribosomal RNA (490 nucleotides) under uncultured bacterium. RNAcentral's name for it is "partial 16S ribosomal RNA". It matches the Rfam family "Bacterial small subunit ribosomal RNA", at positions 30 to 507 of the family's 1533-position model. The record is from RNAcentral.